This 1104-nucleotide long non-coding RNA is filed under the name Struthio camelus australis. Its description in RNAcentral is "lncRNA (ENSSCUG00000016790.1)". The record is from RNAcentral. Lineage: Eukaryota; Metazoa; Chordata; Aves; Struthioniformes; Struthionidae.
GCCAAAUAGAGCUUUUCAUAUGACGCACCGCUGCUGUAGUGGAGAAGUACUUAAAGCAGUUCCAGUCAAGUUAGGCCCCAAGACUUUUCAUUCAACUUCAUGCAAAAUGGCUAAGACCUUUUUUUUUCUUUUCUUUUGAACAUCUUCAAAGGUUACUAGUGCAACAUGCGUCGAGGAUGCCAGGCUUCUUCCUGUUGAGCUGAGAUGGUCUGAAAACCACAUUGAAACAUGGGGAAUUGCAGCUACCACAGCUUGCAGGUUUUUUUUUUUUGCCUGUUGCAGAUCUCUCCUGGUAACAGUUGGAUGAAGGCUAUGGAUGGAGGCUGGUACAGCCUGCAUGACUGAUCCUGCUGUCCUGAUUUGCCCCGGGUUCAUCAGGGGAGGUCACUCUCUGGAACAAAGAGUCAAGAUACGUUCUCCUUGGAUCUAGGCUGGGGUGUAUCUUCAGUUAGAGUCCCCCUGAAGGUUAAGUGAGUUCUCCAGGUGAAAUCAUGCAACAGGUAAGCCUCAAGGCUUUCAUAUGUAAGGAGUCAGGAGACAAUUUUCACACUUUCAAGAUGUGCAAAGAAGCCCUACGAAGGAAGGUCCCAGGUUGUUGUGAAGAUACAAGCUGUCAUGAUCCCUUGCCAAUCACAUGAGAACUGACCUAGACAGAACAUCAACUGAAGGUUUGCUCCUUGUCUCUCCUCUGGAAAGUGAAGGUUCAGAAAGUCCCACAGCCUUUCUGUGCUCUACAUUGAAAGGAAAAUGACCUGCCUAGACAUCGUAUGAACGUUCUUGGGUCACCCCAAAGUCCUGACCUGCCUAACUGAUGUGAUAUAGGGAAGAGAGAUGUUGUUGCUGGUCAGAGGCAGUGCCUCGCUACUGCCUCCUGGAGUAGAGCGAGAGAUAAGGGGUUAUGGCAGCAAUUUAAUCAUAGUCAUAACACACUAGCCUUCGUGCAGCACGCAAAGGAAUCCGUCAUUUGCAUCAUGAGAUUUUAAGCUUGACUCAAUUCAUGUGAGUGUGGAUGCGGCUGGGCAUGUUUUUGUGAAAUGUCUAAACAUUUGCAAAACAACCAAAAACGAAAAACAAAAGCAGAUAUAAGUCUACUGAAGUCAACAG